Phragmites australis (common reed) is the source of this 1108-nucleotide long non-coding RNA. RefSeq lists it as uncharacterized. The record is from RefSeq and is a predicted model, not a curated record. The transcript is spliced from 2 exons. Lineage: Eukaryota; Viridiplantae; Streptophyta; Magnoliopsida; Poales; Poaceae.
UCGUCGGGUUUUUUCCGCUAAUCUCGGAUUCGCGGUUUGCUGAUUCGUAAGGAGAGCUAUAAUCUCCAUUGGCUUCCGCCAUCGAAUGAUGCAUUAUUUGGGGCGCUAUUAAUCCCCAUUGGCUUCCGCUAUUGGAUGCACUCGCCGUUCUCCAGACCUAGGCUGCAUUACAGGUUAAAGUUGCCAUCCCCUGGGAAUUAAAUAGAAGUAAUGAUAAAAAUAUCUAGAUGCGUUCGUUCCCACCAAGGGGGAGAAAUUUGAUGAUCACCGGCAGUAAAACAAAAUUUUGGGUAAUGGUUGCUUGGCUCUUGAAAGUUGCAAUGACACAGUUGGGUAGUUGAGUAUCCUUUGUGAAAUGCUAGUGUUCAGGAGCAAGACAGAGAAUAGAUUGAAAUUUUAGGAUAAGUGUAGUCAAAACAUAUACUGCCUGAUACCUCGCCUCUUGCUGUCCCACUCCACCCUGUCACUUCUGCUUGCCUGUAAACUUGUUCUCAGUUUUGCAAUACAAAUGUUCAGGCCGGCCUAACAAGCCCCCCAUAGUUCCUCAAAAAAAGAAAAAAAAAGAGAGAGAGACAAAAAUAAACAAAUACUAGGCGACAUGAUGAUACUAUUAAAAACACAGGUUCCCAAUGUUUGGAAUGUGGUUACACAAACAGAAAGAACCUGACAUAACUACAUGCCAGUAUUGCCUUUUACACUUUGUCUGCUGAAACUACCUAUUUUUCUUCAAAAGUAUCGAUUGAACCAUCUAGUCCUUCUAGUUUUGUACAUUGGACUACUGCAUUCUGAUGGCAGGUGGAACACAUACAGUAUAAUGCUCUUGAAGCAUCGGCAUUGUCCGAAAGACAUUCAGAGUCCAAAUGAUGAUCUGAAAAUAAAGACAAGAAGUUAUACAAAUGAAAAAUCUAAAUCCUUUUUAGACAGGUCGUGCAUAUUCAACAGAGAGCUGCACUAACUUUAGUUAUCAAGUAUGGGAUAUUGUCAUCGAUAUUUUGGCAAAUCUGUUGGUACCCUGGACAGUUUAUUCUGUAAGCCUGUUGCUGUGCAUGCACGCAUGAGCAACUUUAUCAUAACAUUUUUUGGAAGUAGGUUGGAAGUUGGCUUGCUA